UAGAUGCGAGAGUAGAGCAUAUCAAUAAGCGGAGGAAAAGAAACUAACAAGGAUUCCCCUAGUAACGGCGAGUGAAGCGGGAAGAGCUCAAAUUUGAAAUCUUCAAGGGUUUCCCUUGACGAAUUGUAGUUUAAAGAAGUGUUUUCUGUUAGAGAGGUGGUAAAAGUUCUUUGGAAUAGGACAUCAUAGAGGGUGAGAAUCCCGUAUUUGAUCCGUUACUUUCCUAACUGUGUGAUACACUUUCAAAGAGUCGGAUUGUUUGGGAAUGCAGUCCAAAAUGGGUGGUAAAUCUCAUCUAAAGCUAAAUAUUGGCGAGAGACCGAUAGCGAACAAGUACCGUGAGGGAAAGAUGAAAAGAACUUUGAAAAGAGAGUUAAACAGUACGUGAAAUUGUCAAAAGGGAAGCGUUUGACACCAGUGUUGUUUUUCCGAAAAUCAAUUACGAAUGGUUUUAGUUUUUAAGAAGUUAUGACUUCAUCGGCUUGCUCCUUUCUUUAUGAAACUUUCUUAAUGCACUUUUCGGUUAACAAGUCAUACAUCAAUUUCUUUUGUUGUAAAAGGGUAUGAGGAAGGUGGCUUUCUUUUCGGAGAAAGUGUUUAUAGCCUUGUACCUCUGCAAUCGGAGAGAUUGAGGUCUGCAGCGUAGAUCCUUCGGGGUUAGAUACAUUUGUGCUAAGUUAUAGCUUUUCAUAGACAACUUGUUGACUAUGUUUAGUCUUGUAGCUUACUCGCUUACGCUAUUUUACCUACGCUUAGGAUGUUGACGAGACUGUCGAUCUC
RNAcentral lists this ribosomal RNA (780 nucleotides) under uncultured Neocallimastigales. RNAcentral's name for it is "partial large subunit ribosomal RNA". It matches the Rfam family "Eukaryotic large subunit ribosomal RNA", at positions 22 to 634 of the family's 3401-position model. Lineage: Eukaryota; Fungi; Neocallimastigomycota; Neocallimastigomycetes; Neocallimastigales. The record is from RNAcentral.